UACGGGGGGGGCAAGCGUUGUUCGGAAUUACUGGGCGUAAAGGGCUCGUAGGUGGCCAACUAAGUCAGACGUGAAAUCCCCAGGCUUAACCUGGGAACUGCGUCUGAUACUGGAUGGCUUGAGUUUGGGAGAGGGAUGCGGAAUUCCAGGUGUAGCGGUGAAAUGCGUAGAUAUCUGGAGGAACACCGGUGGCGAAGGCGGCAUCCUGGACCAACACUGACACUGAGGAGCGAAAGCCAGGGGAGCAAACGGG
RNAcentral lists this ribosomal RNA (253 nucleotides) under uncultured bacterium. RNAcentral's name for it is "partial 16S ribosomal RNA". It matches the Rfam family "Bacterial small subunit ribosomal RNA", at positions 524 to 776 of the family's 1533-position model. The record is from RNAcentral.